RNAcentral lists this long non-coding RNA (1663 nucleotides) under Apteryx rowi (Okarito brown kiwi). RNAcentral's name for it is "lncRNA (ENSARWG00000008520.1)". The record is from RNAcentral. Lineage: Eukaryota; Metazoa; Chordata; Aves; Apterygiformes; Apterygidae.
GAUAAACGGCCUGGAUGGGACGGCAGGACAAGUUCCAACACUGCUUCCCAGCGCCUGCUGCCAACUCCGGAGCGUGAGAAAAUACCAGGCAAGGAGGGAAGGAUCAGCAUCGCACGGAUGUUUAGAGGCAGCGAUCCGGUACCAAACCCCGGCAGGACUCUCCCGGCCACAGGCCAACCCGGAGCAUCGAGGUCCGAUCACGGAAACGCAGCCAAGCGCCUCCAGCCCCGCUGCUGGCCCAACCUGCCGGUGCCUCGCCUGCAUCCCUGGCCAGCACGCGGCUCCCUUGCCAUCCCCGCCACUGCGAUCCUGCCCGGUGCGCAGCUCCCUUGCCAUCCCCACCACUGCGAUCCCGCCCAGCACGUGGCUCCCUCGCUGCAGCAUUCCCGCUCCCCGGGAAGGGCAGAGGCAAAGACAAGAACAGGCAGCACGACUGUUCGACGGCUCCUCGCCAACACCGGAUGCGGUUCGGCUUUCGGGCAGGAGAUCAGCCGGUGGCUUUUUCCAUCCGGAGCAGCUCCUCCAUGCCGGCCCGGCUUUGCACCAUGCUCUCGCUCUGCCCUGUGCCAGGGCACUGGGCGACAGGAAGCUCGGGAGCGAGUGGAAAGAGGCCAGGAAAUCGGAGGAGGAAGCUGGAAGGAGGCUGUUCCCGCGGUGGCCUGAACCAAACGCCAGCCGAAACACGACGGCGGGGAGCUCUGAAACGCCGGGUCAAACGGCGGCAGGUCAGGGCACCGGUGGGAAAAAAAAAGUCUAAAAAGUGCUAAGCAGGAGACUGGAAAAACAAAACGUUUGGGGUCCGUUUUGCUGCACCCCCCAGGCGCAGAGCAGCCAGAGGAGGAACGGCGAACGCCUCUCCCGGGCGAACCGCAAGCAAAGCGCCCAGCGAGGGCUGGAGACAUCCCUAAGGGAAAGAAGGGAAGAGGAAAACCAACUUUGCCCUGGAGCUCAUGAGAUCCGCCUGGCCGCAGGCAGUCGGAAGAGGCGGAUUUUCGUGCCACGGGGCUACAGCAGUGAGACCAGCGUGGCAGAAAUGUCCUCGCGUAGUGUCUCAAUGCUCGCAAAGGCGCCCGCCGAGGCUGGGUGGUUCCCGCGGGGCUGCAAACGCGCUUCCUCCGUGCAGGCUAAAAAUAGCCGGCAGCGCACGAAGAAACGAGGCGCUGGGUGCACCUCCGCAGGAACCGGGCACGGCGGGAGGAAGAUCUCGACACGGCUUCUGGGUAGAUGUUGCAAGAACGACUUAUUUCCAUGCAACGUGUGCUCCCGUUUCGGGGCUCCUUUUGUUUUCGCAGGAGAUUUGCGCUUGAAAAGCCGGUGUCAAAUUUGCUUGCACAAACAUAUAUGCAGCCAGUCUAGAGACAGAAAUGAUGCCCGCUGGUUUUCAGAGCAACCCCAGCUUCCCAUUGCGCACCUAGCAGGCAGAUCCACAGAGCAGUGACUGGCUGGUCUCUCACACUGGCCUGGAGCGCUCGGUGAAAGCCGUAUGGCAAAUCCACCAUUAUCCCAUGCACUGAACCCGCGCCCCAUCGUGGAGCAAAUACCUCUGUCCCGCCUUGUGAUUAAUGAUCCUCUGCUGAGUUUUCCCAGAAAGAGAAAAGCGUCUUUCCAAUGCAAGGAGCUCGUUUCUAACGACAGGGCGCUAACAGCUCCCGCCGCGCAUUGC